GAUGAACGCUGGCGGCGUGCCUAAUACAUGCAAGUCGAGCGAACAGACGAGGAGCUUGCUCCUCUGACGUUAGCGGCGGACGGGUGAGUAACACGUGGAUAACCUACCUAUAAGACUGGGAUAACUUCGGGAAACCGGAGCUAAUACCGGAUAACAUUUUGAACCGCAUGGUUCAACAGUGAAAGACGGUCUUGCUGUCACUUAUAGAUGGAUCCGCGCCGCAUUAGCUAGUUGGUAAGGUAACGGCUUACCAAGGCAACGAUGCGUAGCCGACCUGAGAGGGUGAUCGGCCACACUGGAACUGAGACACGGUCCAGACUCCUACGGGAGGCAGCAGUAGGGAAUCUUACGCAAUGGGCGAAAGCCUGACGGAGCAACGCCGCGUGAGUGCAGAAGGUCUUCGGAUCGUAAAACUCUGUUAUUAGGGAAGAACAAAUGUGUAAGUAACUAUGCACGUCUUGACGGUACCUAAUCAGAAAGCCACGGCUAACUACGUG
This 497-nucleotide ribosomal RNA is filed under the name uncultured bacterium. Its description in RNAcentral is "partial 16S ribosomal RNA". It matches the Rfam family "Bacterial small subunit ribosomal RNA", at positions 28 to 507 of the family's 1533-position model. The record is from RNAcentral.